UGGCCAUUCGGGCAACACAGGUGCCCGGGAGGACGCAACGCCGGGUAUGGACGGAAGCAGACAAACAUUUAUGGCUGCCCGAGAGAGGGGAGAGCAAGGCCGAGUUUCCGGUAGGCCCAGGGAAAGUUCCCUUCCUAGGGGAUUUUCAAACACACAAACAAACAAAAACAACAAGGACAACAACAACAAAAAAAAAAAAAAAAAAGGAGAAGAAGAAGGGAGGGGUUGAGGCGCGCUGAAUUUUCCUUCGCGGGCUUGGAGCGAGCAGAUCGCCAUAAAGGAAGAGAGGACCACGAUCCCGGAUCCUUCCACGUCCGCCUCAUUCUCUCCAGAUUCCGGCCAUCCUUUUUGCUUCAGAAUCACCCUGCAGCCAUGCAAGGCGUAGCCAACCACCAUCUGAUCUACUCAGCAGCAUCACCUUUAUUCUUUGAAUGGAUUGUAAUAGGAAGAAGAAGAAGAAGAAGAA
Non-coding RNA from Leptonychotes weddellii (Weddell seal), 466 nucleotides. NCBI's taxonomy places the organism in Eukaryota, Metazoa, Chordata, Mammalia, Carnivora, Phocidae. The record is from RefSeq and is a predicted model, not a curated record.